RNAcentral lists this ribosomal RNA (710 nucleotides) under Corynebacterium tuberculostearicum. Its description in RNAcentral is "bacterial SSU rRNA". It matches the Rfam family "Bacterial small subunit ribosomal RNA", at positions 56 to 780 of the family's 1533-position model. The record is from RNAcentral. Lineage: Bacteria; Bacillati; Actinomycetota; Actinomycetes; Mycobacteriales; Corynebacteriaceae.
UGCAGUCGAACGGAAAGGCCCUGCUUGCAGGGUACUCGAGUGGCGAACGGGUGAGUAACACGUGGGUGAUCUGCCCUGCACUUCGGGAUAAGCCUGGGAAACUGGGUCUAAUACCGGAUAGGAGCCAUUUUUAGUGUGAUGGUUGGAAAGUUUUUUCGGUGUAGGAUGAGCUCGCGGCCUAUCAGCUUGUUGGUGGGGUAAUGGCCUACCAAGGCGGCGACGGGUAGCCGGCCUGAGAGGGUGGACGGCCACAUUGGGACUGAGAUACGGCCCAGACUCCUACGGGAGGCAGCAGUGGGGAAUAUUGCACAAUGGGCGCAAGCCUGAUGCAGCGACGCCGCGUGGGGGAUGACGGCCUUCGGGUUGUAAACUCCUUUCGCUAGGGACGAAGCUUUUUGUGACGGUACCUAGAUAAGAAGCACCGGCUAACUACGUGCCAGCAGCCGCGGUAAUACGUAGGGUGCGAGCGUUGUCCGGAAUUACUGGGCGUAAAGGGCUCGUAGGUGGUUUGUCGCGUCGUCUGUGAAAUUCNGGGGCUUAACUCCGGGCGUGCAGGCGAUACGGGCAUAACUUGAGUACUGUAGGGGUAACUGGAAUUCCUGGUGUAGCGGUGAAAUGCGCAGAUAUCAGGAGGAACACCGAUGGCGAAGGCAGGUUACUGGGCAGUUACUGACGCUGAGGAGCGAAAGCAUGGGUAGCGAACAGGAUUA